This is a long non-coding RNA of Chenopodium quinoa (quinoa), 1184 nucleotides long. RefSeq lists it as uncharacterized. The record is from RefSeq and is a predicted model, not a curated record. The transcript is spliced from 2 exons. NCBI's taxonomy places the organism in Eukaryota, Viridiplantae, Streptophyta, Magnoliopsida, Caryophyllales, Amaranthaceae.
CAUCGUGACCGUUGAUCGCUCUCAAGGGCUUGUGUUUCACCCGCCUUUUUCAAUUUUAUUAAGGGCAUUGUUGGUAAUUUUGCCAGUUGAAUGACAUUUCUCCUGUUCUUUUCGCAGUUCUUUUGUUUCUCUCUCCUCUCUUGCACUUUCUCUCUCUACCCUCAACUCUCUCUGUAUUUUCGUUUCUCUUAUAUCGAAAUCGGGAUUUUUUUCUUCGCUCAUCAGUUUUUUGCUGUGAUUCUUUGAUUUUCGUCAUUGUUUGAGUAACCUCUUAAUCACAACCGCAAGGAUCUGUGCCUAUAGGAUCGAAACUGGUCUCUUGGAACCUUCAUUGACUAUUAGAUAUGUGCUGGACAAAUACUAGUUAGUUGCAUUGAAGGUCAUAUAUAUAACCCAUGCAGUAGUCUUUCUUAUCUAAUGCCUGUUAUGCCUAUCCUUAUAUAGCUCAUGGGAGGAUGAUGUUGAUUUGAUCAUUAUGACUCGCUAAUUAAUGAUGCAAUGCCUCACUCACUUGAUGUUGAUCACGUCAUCAUGAUCAGCUUGAGUUUUCACAAUUGAACAUGUGAAGAUUAGCCCGAAAAAUGAUCGGGUUGAGUGUUGCAGCUGCUGCCACGUAGGCCUUGCCAAGGCUGCAGCUGCUGCUGCUGCCCUGCAGACCCUAUCAAGGUUGCAGCUGUUGCCUUAGAGGCUCUGCCAAGGCUGCAGCUGCUGCCCUGGAGGCUCUGCCAAGCCUGCACCUGCUGCUCUACCAAUGCAAGGAUGUUGCUGCUGCCCUGCAGGCCCUGCCAAGGUUGCUGCUACAGCUGCUGCCCUGCCAAGGCUGCUGUUGCAGCUACUGCCCCGACAUGGUCUGCUGUUGCAGCUGCUGCCCCGACAUGGUCUGCUGCUGCAGCUGCUGCCCUGCCGUGGCUUGCUACUACAACUGCUACUUUUGCCCUGCCAAGGUUGCUGCUGCAACUAUAUAAAUAUUAGUUGACCCUAGCCCUACAUUAUUCAGAUCAAUCGGCUUUGCUUAAGGAUAUUUGGAGUGGUAGUUGCUGCACUUUGACUAGGAUUUGAGCAUAUACUCUAUUUUUUUUUAUUUAUUUAUUUCUUAUGAUAUACUUUGAUUUACUCUUAAACUGAUGUAUAAUUUAUCUUACUAGCUUUAAUGCUAAUGUUACCUUUAAUGCUUCUCUUAUUUA